CGGUGGUCUUAGCGAGGGGGCCACACCCGUUCCCAUCCCGAACACGGAAGUUAAGCCCCUCAGCGCCGAUGGUACUGCACUGGAGACGGUGUGGGAGAGUAGGACGCCGCCG
This 112-nucleotide ribosomal RNA is filed under the name marine sediment metagenome. The record is from RNAcentral. RNAcentral also lists the same sequence under 1 other name.